CAAUAGCGUAUAUUAAAGUUGUUGCAGUUAAAAAGCUCGUAGUUGGACUUCUGGGUUGUGAUUGUGGUCCGCCUAACGGUGUGCACUGUGGUUGCGACUCUUCUUCCCGUAGUUUGGGGGUGCACUUAGUUGUGUGCUUUUGGAAUAUGGGACCUUUACUUUGAAAAAAUUAGAGUGUUCAAAGCAGGCCUUCGCUUGAAUACAUUAGCAUGGAAUAAUAGAAUAGGACUUUGGUUCUAUUUUGUUGGUUUCUUAGGACCGGAACGUAAUAGAUUAAUUAAGGGACGAGUUGGGGGUCGGAUUAGUAUUUAAUUUAGUUCAGAGGUGGAAAUUAC
RNAcentral lists this ribosomal RNA (335 nucleotides) under uncultured eukaryote. Its description in RNAcentral is "bacterial SSU rRNA". It matches the Rfam family "Eukaryotic small subunit ribosomal RNA", at positions 592 to 930 of the family's 1831-position model. The record is from RNAcentral.